RNAcentral lists this ribosomal RNA (563 nucleotides) under Uroptychus marianicus. Its description in RNAcentral is "partial large subunit ribosomal RNA". It matches the Rfam family "Bacterial large subunit ribosomal RNA", at positions 1799 to 2619 of the family's 2925-position model. Lineage: Eukaryota; Metazoa; Arthropoda; Malacostraca; Decapoda; Chirostylidae. The record is from RNAcentral.
CCUGUUUAAUCAAAAACAUCUCUUCUAUGAAGAUUUAUAAAGUAUAACCUGCCCACUGAUAUUAUUAAAUGGCCGCAGUAUUUUGACUGUGCAAAGGUAGCAUAAUCAAUAGUCUUUUAAUUGAAGGCUUGAAUGAACGGUUGAACGAGAAAUACACUGUCUCCUAUUAAAUAAAUUGAAAUUUACUUUUAAGUGAAAAGGCUUAAAUCUAUUUAAGGGACGAUAAGACCCUAUAAAUCUUUAUAUUAAAUAUAAUAUAUUUUAUAAAUAUAUAAAAUAAAUAAAAUAUAUUAUAUAUAAUAUUUUAUUGGGGUGAUAUAAAUAUAAUAAUUAACUAUUCUACUUUUAUUACAAUAAUAUUUGAUUUUUUAUUAAAGAUCCUUUAUUUAAGAUUUUAAGAUCAAGUUACUUUAGGGAUAACAGCGUUAUUUUUUUUAAGAGUUCUCAUCAAAAAAAAAGUUUGCGACCUCGAUGUUGAAUUAAAAUAUCUUUAUGGUGCAGAAGCUAUAUAAGAAAGUCUGUUCGACUUUUAAAAUUUUACGUGAUCUGAGUUUUCAGACCGG